GUUUGUUAUAAGGAAUACUGAGACCAUGUAAGUGAAGUUGAACUCCUUGCUUAGGAAGAUUUACAAGACCUGCUUGUUCCAGCAGGCCUUUGGAGGAAACUGUAACAAACAGCAAAGUGAGACAUCAAACAACAAACGCAUGUUGUUGUUGUUUUUAAAAAAGAAGAUCCAAGAUGCCAGUGCAGACAUUCCCCAAGAUAUGAAAAUCCCAAGCAAUUGCAAAUUAGACCCAGUAUCAAUACCCAGAUGAAGUAAUUCCUGGCAAG
This is a long non-coding RNA of Hemicordylus capensis (graceful crag lizard), 266 nucleotides long. RefSeq lists it as uncharacterized. The transcript has 3 exons. The record is from RefSeq and is a predicted model, not a curated record. NCBI's taxonomy places the organism in Eukaryota, Metazoa, Chordata, Lepidosauria, Squamata, Cordylidae.